Molecule: ribosomal RNA, 634 nt
Filed under: uncultured bacterium
Lineage: Bacteria
Description: bacterial SSU rRNA
Rfam family: Bacterial small subunit ribosomal RNA
Source: RNAcentral
CGGGAGCAAUCCUGGUGGCGAGUGGCGAACGGGUGAGUAAUAUAUCGGAACGUGCCCAGUCGUGGGGGAUAACGCAGCGAAAGCUGUGCUAAUACCGCAUACGAUCUACGGAUGAAAGCGGGGGAUCGCAAGACCUCGCGCGAUUGGAGCGGCCGAUAUCAGAUUAGCUAGUUGGUGGGGUAAAAGCCCACCAAGGCGACGAUCUGUAGCUGGUCUGAGAGGACGACCAGCCACACUGGAACUGAGACACGGUCCAGACUCCUACGGGAGGCAGCAGUGGGGAAUUUUGGACAAUGGGCGCAAGCCUGAUCCAGCAAUGCCGCGUGCAGGAUGAAGGCCUUCGGGUUGUAAACUGCUUUUGUACGGAGCGAAACGGCUUCCCCUAAUACGGGGAGCUAAUGACGGUACCGUAAGAAUAAGCACCGGCUAACUACGUGCCAGCAGCCGCGGUAAUACGUAGGGUGCGAGCGUUAAUCGGAAUUACUGGGCGUAAAGCGUGCGCAGGCGGUUAUAUAAGACAGAUGUGAAAUCCCCGGGCUCAACCUGGGACCUGCAUUUGUGACUGUAUAGCUAGAGUACGGUAGAGGGGGAUGGAAUUCCGCGUGUAGCAGUGAAAUGCGUAAAUAUGCGGAGG